This is a long non-coding RNA of Bombyx mori (domestic silkworm), 4113 nucleotides long. RefSeq lists it as uncharacterized. NCBI's taxonomy places the organism in Eukaryota, Metazoa, Arthropoda, Insecta, Lepidoptera, Bombycidae. The record is from RefSeq and is a predicted model, not a curated record. The transcript is spliced from 2 exons.
CUUGACCUGGAAUCAGAGAAAAACGGGGUGAAUGUUUUUGGAGUUUACUCCUUUAGAAUCGAUUUACAUAUAUAGGCCCGGGGUAUGAAAAUUAUGGGGACCAAAAUCGUACUAGCAUGUCACACGAAAUGCGUUAUGCGCCUGCGCCGGCAGUCCGCCACAAAGCCUCGUACUGAUCGCGCGUUUCUCUCAUUAUUGUAUUUUCAUAUAUUUGUUAGUCGUUUGUUUUGUGUCUCGUUAAUUUGUUAAUAAUCUGUAGUGUAUCGUGUUGUCGUAAUAUAGAACUAUUUCUCGUAUUGUUUCGUUUAAUUUUUUAUAUCCAGUAAACUCCAGUCGUGCGUCGGAGCGGACACACACACUUUUUUUUUUUUUUUUUUUUUGUUGGUAAGUUUAUUCGGAUAGUCGUGUUUAUGAGUGCUGGUAUAUUUUUAGUGUAUCGAUCCUUAAAAGGAUAAUGAGAGCAUAGGGUUAAUUUGUUGUUAGUCGAUCAGUGAGAUACUUAAAAGCGUUUUUACGGAAUCAUUUUAUGUGUAUCGGAGAUGAAAUUGGUAUUUUGAUCCUGGUCUACGGCGGAAAGGAAUCUCAAAAUUCUCAGUUGAAAUAAUCACUACAUAGUAUAAAACAAAGUCGCUUUCUCUGUCCCUAUGUAUGCUUUUAAAUCUUUAAAACUACGCAACGGAUUUUGAUGCGGUUUUUUUUAAUAGAUAGAGUGAUUGAAGAGGCAGGUUUAUAUGUAUAAUAACAUCCAUUAAAUAGUGGAGAAAUCAAUAAUAAAUUACAGUUUCCGAAGCGAAGCGAGGGCGGGUCGCUAGUCAAUAGAUAUAGUUGACGGCGUUAACGAUAUUUAUGUUAUAUAGCACGUGCAAUAGGAGUGACUCACACAAGCCAGGCGCGCCGGCCGUGUCGUUCCACUCGUAAACAACAGCUGCAACAGAAGUGACUCAUAAGCCAGCUGCGCCGGCUAGUAUAAAAAGGCGGAACGUGCCUUGAAAUGAACAUUCGUUGGACUGCGCUUGCCUGGUGCACUUACUAUAUCCUUGUUACGUUGUGUGAUUCAGUGACUGUUGUACGUACUGGUUAAAGUUGGACAAGUGUUAAAGUGAAUUGUUAAGAUAACAUAUUGUUGAUUAAAUCAGGAACCAAAAAGUGACAUCGUUUUACUUGGUGUUCAACAAGAUAAUAUCUACCCUCAAGCCUACAUCAGAAGUGAGAUCAGGACUCUACUCUCACUGGCGUAACGUGUUUGAACAUGUUCGAAGUACAGCAAAAAAAACAUGAUGCAGAUCAGAAUACUAGUAGUGGUACGCCACAAGAGCGUCAAUGCAGCAUACGUAAGUCGUGUAAUAACGUCUCUGUUACCUCGAUGGAAGAUCUGACCACGAAAAAAUCGUCACAUCUUACGUUCCCACUCAUGUUGCCCAGUUUGACUGUCGACUUCAUCACAUGGCAUUUACUAGCGGAAAUACAACACGUAACAAGCUAUUGCAAGAAAUUAAGGCAAGUGCAAAUCUCAAUGACGAGUGGGUAGUUCCGACAAGAGUUAUUUUAAGCGGCUGACUUCUGCUAGAGUUACAUGGCACUAGUGCAGUAAAACCAGGACAUGAGACUGUGAAUUGUCACUGAAAUUUUAGAAUCUACUAGAUUCAAUACCAAUAACAUUACACGUUCGAUGACUUCGGGCUCCAGCAAGCAAGCAAACAAGAAAGCAAGCAAGUUUCCGUGGGGAAGAAAAAUUGACACAUCUGAAGUCGUCGUGACCUGUAAGAUAAAACGUCCGGUGCGUUCGUGUCUGGCGAUGCGGCGGUGUUCGGGUCCCGCUGGCGGAUGCAGGUUUUUCCGGUGAAGUGCGUGCUUGUGCGUGCUUGACAAGUGUUCGCGGUUGGCUUCCUCAGUGUGGGAGUAACAUCGUGUAAGAGAGGUGGAACCCGUAAAAUUGUAGUUUGCGUGGUGGCUGGUAAGAUUUGUUGCGGUAAGAAGUUUGCAUGGUGGUAAAAUGUCUUGUGAGUCUGCACAGGUAGCCGGAGGUGAGACUUCCGCGGUCGCGGCCCACCCAGUCCGCGAGAACCGGGCAGAUCGCCUCGACGGUACGGAGGCCGGCUGACGGGUCCGCCAAACGACGAGACCACGCCUCCAGCACGGACUGCCGAUAUUGGAGCCCCCACGCUCCGGCUGCACUUGCGCUAGGGCGCGCCGCCUCGUAGGAGACUGUGAGCCUGCAAAACCUGAACAACCUCCUCAUCCGUGGGCGCCCGGCUCUCGCCUGCAAGUCGGCUGUUACGUGUGCGGUGAUGCGAGCCAUGUAGCUUCUGGGUGUUCCAUGCGCUACAAGAAGAAAAACGACACUGCUCCAGGUGCUGUGGCAGGUCCAACCAGAGACGUCAACGUGUGUUCCAGAGCUUCAGUGUGUUACAGAUAAGUGGUUUUGGCUUCCCCUUUAUGUUCCAUUCAGGGUCAGAAUGUAGUCUUAUAAAACAAAGUCAUAGUAAUUUAUUCAAUGGUAAGCGGUUUCAUGAACAAGUCACUCUUUGAUCUGAAAGUAACUUAGACCAAUCAUGAUGGCAAGAGCACUUAGGGGAUAUUCAACUCGCCCUUAAUAGUGCACGUUGUCGAGUAACAGGGUUUACUCCAAUAGAAUAGACGUUUGCCGUUCAGGGUAGUUCACUUGAAAUAUCUAAAGUUUCAACAGAGUGAUAAUCCCUCUAGAUUAGAUCUUGAUUUAGCACGGUCGAAGACCGGCGAAAACAUAAAAAAGGGCACAAACAGAAGCUUGGUUUAGUCGAGGCAAAGCUAAAGUCAAACUCUUUUCCGCUGAGGAUUUUGUUUUCGUAAGUUAACCGAAAAUGUAAAGGUUCCUUCAACAUUACUGCAGUUUUGGGAAACGAUAGGUAUAAAUUGAGACAUGUAAAUAGUUCUAAUAGAGUGUACAAAUUUCCCCAUGAAAACUUACGUGAAAUACCUCGAGGUCCGUCAGGCCUACUAGAAAUUUCUGAAAAUUAUAGUGACGAUGACGUGACGGCGUACACAGAUGGGUUAAUUAAUCUUGUUCAUGAAACUGAUCUUAAUGAUGACGACUCUAUCACUGACAAUAGAAGCGACAUUUUUGUCCGCAAAUAGCGAUACAGCAAACAUAGUCUGUGGGUAGUGAUACAAUGUCUGUAAGCUCAGGCACCUCAGGUGCAGGUGUUGGAAAUGUAGAAAACGAUGGUCGGUCUCGCACUAUUUCUGAAGAAAUUCCGUAUAAAUGUUCUAGUUUAAGAAAUGUUUUAACAAACGCUACCGUACACGCAGAUUAAAAAAAAAAAAGAAAAAAAAAAGAGAAUUGUAUGUGGCUAGAGAGAUGUUAAUCCGGACUAGCAAAAAAAAAAGAGGAAAAAAAAAAAAGAAAGUGUGAAGUCAUUGAAGGGUCUGUCCGGUCCAAUGGCUUGGCUAUAGGGAUUUUCAUCCAGAUUAGCCACAACAAUUAGCUACAGGGAUUGCGAUUCGGUCUAGCAUUAUCCGGUCCAGUUCGAAAAACUGAAGGGAUAACAAUUCCGGUCUAAGUUAAAAGGGACAUACUUACAGACCUGAAGAGUUUUAAAUGAACUGGCCCAGGUAUGUAAGCAGUCUGAAGGUUAUUUAUAGCCAGUAUAGGAUUUUCUGAAGAAUUAUGCGAACCGAACCGUACUAGAUUGUUAAUAUCAUAGACCACGUUUUAAGUUGCAUCCGUUAAUAUCAGGAUGAACGAACACGUUUAUUGUUCACAGACAUACCAUAAGAAUGCGCGCACGAGGACGAGCGCACGUCAGUAUGGCCGUGACGGCGUUAACGAUAUUUAUGUUAUAUAGCACGUGCAAUAGGAGUGACUCACACAAGCCAGGCGCGCCGGCCGUGUCGUUCCACUCGUAAACAACAGCUGCAACAGAAGUGACUCAUAAGCCAGCUGCGCCGGCUAGUAUAAAAAGGCGGAACGUGCCUUGAAAUGAACAUUCGUUGGACUGCGCUUGCCUGGUGCACUUACUAUAUCCUUGUUACGUUGUGUGAUUCAGUGACUGUUGUACGUACUGGUUAAAGUUGGACAAGUGUUAAAGUGAAUUGUUAAGAUAACAUAUUGUUGAUUAAAUCAGGAACCAAAAA